GGGAGGAGGGGGGUAUUUGAGACUGAUUUUGUGGUAUUUUUCGGCCGAAAAAUGCUAAUAUUUUUUGCUCACGGCAUUCUUUGGAAUGUGUAGAUUGUGGAACAAGUGCUGAAAUAUGCUUAUCUAUUGUAAUUUGGCUACGUUAGCCUUAGACAUGUUGCACUGUUGACGCUGAUGAAGAAUAGGCGGCACCAAGGCGGCACCAAAGCUUUAAAGACUAGUAUCUUUUGAAAUUGAAAUUUGCCUCUCAGUCUCUCAAGAUGCCAAAUAGAUGUGCAGGAUUUGAUUGCUGACAAACCAGGGAUGAGGCUCAAGAGUCAAGAGAUCACCCUGCAUUGGCAAGUGGCUGGAACAACCCCAGUGCCGCACAGUUCUGCGGGAUAUUCCGGCACCUGCUCCACCGCUGCGGCGUCCGGCCCGGCAGCACAGGGAAAGUGGCAGCCCUCGACCCGACCAGCAUCCUGGCAGUCGGUCACACGACCAGCGGACGGGGAGCCAGCCUUACUACCUCGGCCUCCACCACCUCAGACAACGGUGCCACGGCACUCCACAUCAUCACGGAGCACGACUUCCAGCCUGGGCUGUCGUCUGGUGGGCAACAUCGCCACCUACAUCGCAGGGUUCGUGGUGAAGAAGGCGCUCGACUCUGUCAGCUGUAGCACCUGUCAGGAGGCCCUGGUGAGCGACAUCCAGCCGGACGACAUGACACAGCUUUACCACCUCUUCAUCAUCUCUGCCAGAUGAGCUAAGGUGGGGACGGGUUACAUGCCUGGGAUCUGACUGAGACCCGCUCAUACCCUGCCAAAGUGUUGGUGAUUUCAGCGGUCAGCUGUCUCUAGCCAGUGUCAGUGAGUCGCGGCCAGCUGCCGCUGGAGUGGGUAUCUACCGUCGAUAGCUGCUGUGUGGCGGAUAGCGUGGAUUUGGAUGGACACUUCAUAUUAAUGAACAGAUCAAUGUCUGGCCGAUAAAAGACGUAUUUUGUCGAUGAUUGCUUAGUGACUGAGUGGGUCCACUGGCGACCAAUGCAGUGGGCGCUGGGUUAACGCCUCGCCUCUUGUGACCGUGUCGAUAUGUAGCACUGUUAAUUGCCGAUUCGUUGCCGGCCGUCUCUGCUCCGUGGCUGGCUGAUCCGGCACAAACUGGUGUUCGUGGCUGAAGGCGCGGCUACAGUUACACUAGCUCGCCACGUGCCUGUGCGACUAUCGUCGGUGCUGUCUGCAAGGGCGAUGUCGGUGCCUGUAGGGGGCGCGGAUUGAUUCAAAGUGAGGAAUGGGUCAUCGGAGCUCGGGUCAGGUCAUGUUCGGCUAAAAUAAGCGGAUUUUGCGAUUUGCCGCAUCCGGGUGAAUUUCCUUGCCUUCUAGUGCAUGUUUAUGCAUUUUACAUGCGUUUUUUUUAGUGUUGAUGUCUAGAUAACGUGCAUUUGCCUCGAGGUCAAGGCUGCGCUUCAUAUGGGCAGUUUUCGGAGCAUGUUGCUCAUUUUAUUCGUAAUCCUUAAUUAUGUUUGCGGAUUUGUGCCCGCAAAUCAUUUUUUAAAGUAAGAUUGACACGGGAUUCGAGAUCGGCGCCCAUAAAUACACUUCACAUGACC
RNAcentral lists this unclassified non-coding RNA (1588 nucleotides) under Amphibalanus amphitrite. RNAcentral describes it as "uncharacterized LOC122377787, transcript variant X2". Lineage: Eukaryota; Metazoa; Arthropoda; Thecostraca; Balanomorpha; Balanidae. The record is from RNAcentral.